Molecule: ribosomal RNA, 680 nt
Filed under: Streptomyces sp. LOT03
Lineage: Bacteria; Bacillati; Actinomycetota; Actinomycetes; Kitasatosporales; Streptomycetaceae
Description: bacterial SSU rRNA
Rfam family: Bacterial small subunit ribosomal RNA
Source: RNAcentral
CGUAAACGUUGGGAACUAGGUGUGGGGGACAUUCCACGGCGUCGGUGCCGCAGCUAACGCAUUAAGUUCCCCGCCUGGGGAGUACGGCCGCAAGGCUAAAACUCAAAGGAAUUGACGGGGGCCCGCACAAGCAGCGGAGCAUGUGGCUUAAUUCGACGCAACGCGAAGAACCUUACCAAGGCUUGACAUAUACCGGAAAGCAUCAGAGAUGGUGCCCCCCUUGUGGACGGUAUACAGGUGGUGGAUGGCUGGCCUCAGCUCCUGGCCUGAGAAGGUGGGUUAAGUCCCGCAACCAGCGCAACCCUUGUUCUGAGUUGCCAACAUGCCCUUCGGGGUGAUGGGGACUCACAGGAGACUGCCGGGGUCAACUCAGAGGAAGGUGAGGACGACGUCUAGUCAUCAUGCCCCUUAUGUCUUGGGCUGCGCACGUGCUACAAUGGCCGGUACAAUGAGCUGCGAUGCCGCGAGGCGGACCCAAUCUCACAAAGCCGGUCUCAAUUCGGAUUGGGGUCUGCAACUCGACCCCAUGAAGUCGGAAUUGCUAGUAAUCGCACAUCACUAUUGCUGCGGCGAAUACGUUCCCGGGACUUGUACACACCGCCCGUCACGUCACGAAAGACGGCAACACCCGAAGCCCGAGCCCCAACCCCUUGAGGCAGGGAACUGUCGAACGUGAGACU